This 416-nucleotide ribosomal RNA is filed under the name uncultured bacterium. RNAcentral's name for it is "partial 16S ribosomal RNA". It matches the Rfam family "Bacterial small subunit ribosomal RNA", at positions 360 to 773 of the family's 1533-position model. The record is from RNAcentral.
AAUCUGUCGCUAUGGGCGAAAGGCUGACGCAGGUAUGCCGCGUGAAGGAUGACGGUCCUAUGGUUUGUAAACUGCUUUUGUACAUGAAGAAAAAGAGUUACGUGCAGCUUAUUGACGGUACUAUAAGACUAAGGAUCGGCUAACACCGUCCCAGCAGCCGGGGUAAUACGGAGGAUUCAAGCUUUAUCCGGAAUCAUUGGGUUUAAAGGGUCCGUAGGCGGCAUUAUAAGUCAGUGGUUAAAGUUUUAGGCUUAACCAAAAAAUUGCCGUUGAUACUGGAGGGCUUAUAUAUUUAUGAAGUAACUAUAAUAUGUAGUGUAACGGUGAAAUGCUUAGAUAUUACAUAGAAUACCGAUUGCGAAGGCAGGUUACUAACAAACGAUUGACGCUGAUGGACGAAAGCGUGGGUAGCGAAC